RNAcentral lists this ribosomal RNA (460 nucleotides) under uncultured bacterium. RNAcentral describes it as "partial 16S ribosomal RNA". It matches the Rfam family "Bacterial small subunit ribosomal RNA", at positions 338 to 795 of the family's 1533-position model. The record is from RNAcentral.
CCUACGGGUGGCAGCAGUGAGGAAUAUUGGUCAAUGGACGAGAGUCUGAACCAGCCAAGUAGCGUGAAGGAUGACUGCCCUAUGGGUUGUAAACUUCUUUUAUAAAGGAAUAAAACGAGGCACGUGUGCCUUUUUGCAUGUACUUUAUGAAUAAGGAUCGGCUAACUCCGCGACAGCAGCCGCGGUAAUACGGAGGAUCCGAGCGUUAUCCGGAUUUAUUGGGUUUAAAGUGAGCGUAUAUGGGUUGGUACGUCAGUUGUGAAAGUUUGCGGCUCAACCGUAAAAUUGCAAUUGAUACUGGCAGUCUUGAGUACAGUUCAGGUAGGCGGAAUUCGUGGUGCAGCCGUGAAAUGCUUAGAUAGCACGAAGAACCCCGAGUGCGAAGGCAGCUUACUAAACUGUGACUGACAUUGAUGCUCGAAAGUGUGGGUAUCAAACAGGAUUAGAUACCCGAGUAGUC